UUAUUUAAGCUGGAGAAGCAGGGCACAUGCUAAAUUACUUGUAACUUUGAUCUUUCAAGAAUUUUGCAUGUGCUCUUGCUCUCCAGCUUAAUUCU
RNAcentral lists this microRNA precursor (95 nucleotides) under Nicotiana attenuata. RNAcentral's name for it is "pre miRNA MIR164". Lineage: Eukaryota; Viridiplantae; Streptophyta; Magnoliopsida; Solanales; Solanaceae. The record is from RNAcentral.